AUGCCAUGAUGACGACAUCUUCUGAGCAACUCUUUAAAUCUCUCACAAGCCUCAUACAAGCUCUCAUAUUCGAGUUGGUGAAAAGAGGUGAUCUCAUUCUGCAAUCU
This 107-nucleotide small nucleolar RNA is filed under the name Citrus sinensis (sweet orange). Its description in RNAcentral is "Plant small nucleolar RNA R71". It matches the Rfam family "Plant small nucleolar RNA R71". Rfam says of the family: R71 is a member of the C/D box family of snoRNAs containing the C (UGAUGA) and D (CUGA) box motifs. The record is from Rfam by way of RNAcentral. RNAcentral also lists the same sequence under 1 other name. Lineage: Eukaryota; Viridiplantae; Streptophyta; Magnoliopsida; Sapindales; Rutaceae.